RNAcentral lists this ribosomal RNA (257 nucleotides) under uncultured bacterium. RNAcentral's name for it is "partial 16S ribosomal RNA". It matches the Rfam family "Bacterial small subunit ribosomal RNA", at positions 793 to 1055 of the family's 1533-position model. The record is from RNAcentral.
GUCCACGCCGUAAACUAUGAUUACUCGAUAUUGGCGAUAUACGGUCAGUGUCUAAGCGAAAGUGAUAAGUAAUCCACCUGGGGAGUACGGUCGCAAGAUUGAAACUCAAAGGAAUUGACGGGGGCCCGCACAAGCGGUGGAGCAUGUGGUUUAAUUCGAUUAUACGCGAGGAACCUUACCAGGACUUUAAUGCAUUUUUACAGAUUGAGAAAUCAGUCGUUCUUCGGACAAUUUGCAAGGUGCUGCAUGGCUGUCGU